This 148-nucleotide non-coding RNA is filed under the name Nomascus leucogenys (northern white-cheeked gibbon). The record is from Rfam by way of RNAcentral. Lineage: Eukaryota; Metazoa; Chordata; Mammalia; Primates; Hylobatidae.
GCCAGGCAUGGUGGUGUGUGCCUGUAAUCCCAGCUACUCAGGAGGCUGAGGCAGGAGAAUUGCUUGAACCCAGGAGGCGGAGGUUGCAGUGAGCCGAGAUCACGCCACUGCACUCCAGCCUGGGUGACAGAGUGAGACUCUGUCUCAA